UACGGAGGGGGCUAGCGUUGUUCGGAAUUACUGGGCGUAAAGCGCACGUAGGUGGCUUUGUAAGUUAGAGGUGAAAGCCCGGGGCUCAACUCUGGAAUUGCCUUUAAGACUGCAUCGCUAGAACGUCGGAGAGGUAAGUGGAAUUCCGAGUGUAGAGGUGAAAUUCGUAGAUAUUCGGAAGAACACCAGUGGCGAAGGCGACUUACUGGACGACUGUUGACACUGAGGUGCGAAAGCGUGGGGAGCAAACAGG
RNAcentral lists this ribosomal RNA (253 nucleotides) under uncultured bacterium. RNAcentral describes it as "partial 16S ribosomal RNA". It matches the Rfam family "Bacterial small subunit ribosomal RNA", at positions 524 to 776 of the family's 1533-position model. The record is from RNAcentral.